UACGUAGGGUGCAAGCGUUGUCCGGAAUUAUUGGGCGUAAAGAGCUCGUAGGCGGUUUGUCGCGUCUGCUGUGAAAACUCGGGGCUCAACUCCGAGCUUGCAGUGGGUACGGGCAGACUAGAGUGCGGUAGGGGAGACUGGAAUUCCUGGCGUAGCGGUGGAAUGCGCAGAUAUCAGGAGGAACACCGAUGGCGAAGGCAGGUCUCUGGGCCGAUACUGACGCUGAGGAGCGAAAGCGUGGGGAGCGAACAGG
This 253-nucleotide ribosomal RNA is filed under the name uncultured bacterium. RNAcentral's name for it is "partial 16S ribosomal RNA". It matches the Rfam family "Bacterial small subunit ribosomal RNA", at positions 524 to 776 of the family's 1533-position model. The record is from RNAcentral.